RNAcentral lists this long non-coding RNA (735 nucleotides) under Chrysemys picta bellii (western painted turtle). RNAcentral's name for it is "lncRNA (ENSCPBG00000020512.1)". Lineage: Eukaryota; Metazoa; Chordata; Testudines; Emydidae. The record is from RNAcentral.
AAAUUCUGAGUGCUCCCUGGGGGCCUGGUUUUCAGAAGUGCCGAACGGCAACUGCUCUAACUAAAGCCAACGGGAGCUGAGAGUACACAGCACCUCUGAAAAUCAGGCCUGAAGUAUCUCCAGUUGGACACUCAUGAUUGGAGUCUGUGAAACCAGGAUAAUAAUGAAGCUCACCCUGCCUUUGUAAAGUGCUUUGAGAUCUCUGGGUAAAACGAGCUUGCAGAGCAUCUCUGACUGUAAUUUGUGUGCCACAGACUGAACAGAUUGGGCAGGAAGUUAUAAGUGAUCAUGAAAAGGGGGAUCCUAUCGCCAGUGUACAAACGGACUGAGCAGCGUGCUCCUGCUAACAGCAUGCCCCAUUAAACUGGAAGCACAGCACAUCUGCAAGAGUCCUGAUAUGGAGGCAUGCCAAGGACCAAGUGUCUGGAAAUUCCAAGUCCUGGCGUCAAGGGGCUAGAAAUCACUUCCACCGUUUCUGGAAAUAGCUGUGACCUGCCUUUCGCACCCUUUCUGUCCUUUCAGGCUAACCUGAGCAGUCUGAAACAGAACACUAUUGAACUCUUUAAAAGAAGGUUCCAGAACAUUACAGAAGGAACCUUAUCCCAUUUGGAAAACUAUAAACAACCUCCGAGAGUGCUGCUGCUCACUUUGCUGAAUGACAUCCAAACCUACCUAAUGUACUGUACCCAACGGAAAGCAUGCCAAUUCCUUUGCGGGAUACCUUUUAAUUUCUGA